RNAcentral lists this ribosomal RNA (569 nucleotides) under uncultured bacterium. RNAcentral's name for it is "bacterial SSU rRNA". It matches the Rfam family "Bacterial small subunit ribosomal RNA", at positions 104 to 669 of the family's 1533-position model. The record is from RNAcentral.
GGGUGAGUAAUACAUCGGAACGUGCCCUGUAGUGGGGGAUAGCUCGGCGAAAGCCGGAUUAAUACCGCAUAAGCUCUACGGAGGAAAGCGGGGGACCGCAAGGCCUCGUGCUAUAGGAGCGGCCGAUGGCAGAUUAGCUAGUUGGUGAGGUAAAGGCUCACCAAGGCGACGAUCUGUAGCUGGUCUGAGAGGACGACCAGCCACACUGGGACUGAGACACGGCCCAGACUCCUACGGGAGGCAGCAGUGGGGAAUUUUGGACAAUGGGCGAAAGCCUGAUCCAGCAAUGCCGCGUGUGUGAAGAAGGCCUUCGGGUUGUAAAGCACUUUUGUUCGGGAAGAAAGUAUUCGUGCUAAUACCAUGGAUAGAUGACGGUACCGGAAGAAUAAGCACCGGCUAACUACGUGCCAGCAGCCGCGGUAAUACGUAGGGUGCGAGCGUUAAUCGGAAUUACUGGGCGUAAAGCGUGCGCAGGCGGUUUUGUAAGACAGAUGUGAAAUCCCCGGGCUUAACCUGGGAACUGCAUUUGUGACUGCAAGGCUAGAGUAUGGCAGAGGGGGGUAGAAUUC